GCCUGGCUGGCUUAGCAGGUAGAGUAUGUGACUCUUAAUCUCAGGGUUGUGAGUUCAAGCCCCAUGUUGGGUA
This 73-nucleotide transfer RNA is filed under the name Ailuropoda melanoleuca (giant panda). It matches the Rfam family "tRNA". Rfam says of the family: Transfer RNA (tRNA) molecules are approximately 80 nucleotides in length. Their secondary structure includes four short double-helical elements and three loops (D, anti-codon, and T loops). Lineage: Eukaryota; Metazoa; Chordata; Mammalia; Carnivora; Ursidae. The record is from Rfam by way of RNAcentral.